Molecule: unclassified non-coding RNA, 169 nt
Filed under: uncultured Herpotrichiellaceae
Lineage: Eukaryota; Fungi; Ascomycota; Eurotiomycetes; Chaetothyriales; Herpotrichiellaceae
Description: sequence contains ITS2
Source: RNAcentral
UCAACCAUCAAGCUUUGGCUUGCCGUUGGACCCUGCGUAUGCUGGUAGCCGGCAAUAGCAGGUCUUCAAGGUAGUGGCGGUGUUGUGGCGGACCCCGGAUACAACGAGCUCUGUAUAGCACGUAUCAAGGUGGCCCCCAGUCCAGCCUCACUGGAAUCUCAUAUCUAAA